RNAcentral lists this non-coding RNA (70 nucleotides) under unclassified sequences. Its description in RNAcentral is "c-di-GMP sequence". It matches the Rfam family "c-di-GMP-I riboswitch aptamer", at positions 14 to 87 of the family's 87-position model. From Rfam's summary of the family: GEMM was predicted in a large-scale screen for bacterial structured RNA regulatory elements. The record is from RNAcentral.
ACAAACUAUUGAAAAAUAGUGACGCAAAGCUACAGAGCUGAACCAUAGAGAAGCUGGCUGAGUUGCAAUG